Molecule: unclassified non-coding RNA, 341 nt
Filed under: soil metagenome
Description: partial contains 5.8S ribosomal RNA, internal transcribed spacer 2, and large subunit ribosomal RNA
Rfam family: 5.8S ribosomal RNA (bases 1-120)
Source: RNAcentral
GAUGAAGAACGUAGCGAAAUGCGAUAAGUAGUGUGAAUUGCAGAAUUCAGUGAAUCAUCGAAUCUUUGAACGCACAUUGCGCCCUUUGGUAUUCCAAAGGGCAGGCCUGUUCGAGCGUCAUUUGUACCCUCAAGCUUUGCUUGGUGUUGGGCGUCUUGUCUCUAGCUUUGCUGGAGACUCGCCUUAAAGUAAUUGGCAGCCGGCCUACUGGUUUCGGAGCGCAGCACAAGUCGCACUCUCUAUCAGCAAAGGUCUAGCAUCCACUAAGCCUUUUUUUCAACUUUUGACCUCGGAUCAGGUAGGGAUACCCGCUGAACUUAAGCAUAUCAAUAAGCGGAGGA